CUUUAGGUGAGCUUAUUGCUACCCAUCUACGUUCAUUUGUAUGCUGGAACAGUCUGACGAGCCUCCUGUUGUUCCCAGUACAAUUUGUGUCAGCCAACCAGGCAGAAGAACAGAGGGAGUACAGACAUCUCAGGACUAAGACCAAGACAGAGAGACUCCAAACCAGUGAUUUGAGAGCCCCGCGACGCAGCCUGCUACAGGAACGGGGACUUCUCUGGAACACUGGCGUGCGCAGGGAUUAAUCCCGCCGUAGAGAGCCAGCCUGGCCUUUGAAGUGUUACAAGGGAAAGGAGGAGGUAAGUGUCGAGGCGAGCCCCCAGCCCCCCUCCCCGCCCCCGGGCAGCGUGCGGCGGCCCGCAAAGGGUUAAAGGCCGCCUUGGCCCGGCGGUGCCGUG
This 395-nucleotide long non-coding RNA is filed under the name Cyanistes caeruleus (blue tit). Its description in RNAcentral is "lncRNA (ENSCCEG00000001456.1)". The record is from RNAcentral. Lineage: Eukaryota; Metazoa; Chordata; Aves; Passeriformes; Paridae.